This is a long non-coding RNA of Rhincodon typus (whale shark), 588 nucleotides long. RefSeq lists it as uncharacterized. The record is from RefSeq and is a predicted model, not a curated record. The transcript has 4 exons. NCBI's taxonomy places the organism in Eukaryota, Metazoa, Chordata, Chondrichthyes, Orectolobiformes, Rhincodontidae.
CUGUGAGCAGAAUAUUUUCUGUCUCAUGGAUGGGACUUUGGAGGGAGGAUCUGGAACAGAGUUUGAAACUUGUUUGUAUGAUCGGUCUCUGGAUUUAAUGCUCCAGUGGUUACCUGCCCGACAGUGCUGGGGAGCCAAUUAAAGAACUAGAUGUGGGACAAUUGCUGGUAUUGUCAGGAGUUCCCUGGCAUCAGACUGGCCCCCUGCUGAGUCAGCAGGCCCUGCAACAGCUAGAAAGCAGCUCCCGGCCAUAGCUGAGAAAGCCAAGAGGACCCUCAUCAGUCUGAUCUCAAUUGGAGGCUGCCAUCCAUCCAAUUCUGAGGGAACCCACUCACUGUCCUUCAUUUAAAGAGGAAGGAUAUAAACUGUUAACCAAGUCGAUACCUUACAGUGUGCCAGAUAACAAUUAUGAGAGUAUAGGAGGCAAAAGCAAAAAGCAUAGAGACUUGGCAAUGAUAAAGCUAUAGAAUCCACAAACGCGGUUCUUCCUUGAAGCUUUUCCCUGGCUAGUGGUGCUCUGUAACUACAAAGCUGCAACAUUCAUUUUUUCAGGUACUAUUACUGUUCAAUACAGCAAGCAAAAGGGAU